AUCCAGAUGACGAGUCCCAAAGAGGACUAAAUGCUCAUCCUGGAU
RNAcentral lists this non-coding RNA (45 nucleotides) under Trichobilharzia regenti. Lineage: Eukaryota; Metazoa; Platyhelminthes; Trematoda; Strigeidida; Schistosomatidae. The record is from RNAcentral.